UUGAGCUAACCGGUCASUAAUGAACCGUGAGGCUUAACCUUACAACGCCGAAG
This 53-nucleotide ribosomal RNA is filed under the name Salmonella enterica subsp. enterica serovar Worthington str. BCH-7253. Its description in RNAcentral is "partial 23S ribosomal RNA". The record is from RNAcentral. Lineage: Bacteria; Pseudomonadati; Pseudomonadota; Gammaproteobacteria; Enterobacterales; Enterobacteriaceae.